UUCCCAGACUCCUACGGGAGGCAGCAGUGAGGAAUAUUGGUCAAUGGGCUUACGCCUGAACCAGCCAAGUCGCGUGAGGGAAGACUGCCCUAUGGGUUGUAAACCUCUUUUGUCAGGGAGCAAUUGGCGCUACGUGUAGCGUUAUCGAGAGUACCUGAAGAAAAAGCAUCGGCUAACUCCGUGCCAGCAGCCGCGGUAAUACGGAGGAUGCGAGCGUUAUCCGGAUUUAUUGGGUUUAAAGGGUGCGUAGGCGGAGUGCCAAGUCAGCGGUAAAAUCGCGGGGCUCAACCUCGCUCCGCCGUUGAAACUGGCGUUCUUGAGUGGGCGAGAAGUAUGCGGAAUGCGUGGUGUAGCGGUGAAAUGCUUAGAUAUCACGAAGAACCCCGAUUGCGAAGGCAGCUUACUAAACUGUGACUGACAUUGAUGCUCGAAAGUGUGGGUAUCAAACAGGAUUAGAUACCCUGGUAC
RNAcentral lists this ribosomal RNA (468 nucleotides) under uncultured bacterium. RNAcentral's name for it is "partial 16S ribosomal RNA". It matches the Rfam family "Bacterial small subunit ribosomal RNA", at positions 328 to 793 of the family's 1533-position model. The record is from RNAcentral.